Sinocyclocheilus anshuiensis is the source of this 379-nucleotide long non-coding RNA. RefSeq lists it as uncharacterized. NCBI's taxonomy places the organism in Eukaryota, Metazoa, Chordata, Actinopteri, Cypriniformes, Cyprinidae. The record is from RefSeq and is a predicted model, not a curated record. The transcript is spliced from 3 exons.
ACAUGACCACAUCCACCUGUGAUGAGCUCCUGACUUCAGAAGACACUGAAUUCUGCAAGGGAGAAUUAAGGGUGAUUUACCCUGAUCUGGUUGUUGACAAAUGCAUGAUCGUCCCUCAGAGGAUCAGAGAGAAGAUCAGUAAGGAGUGGGGAGCACCUCAAUUACAGCUGCCAAGUGCUGAUGAGUGUUGUAGGUCCAUUUUACUCAAUGACACUAGAAUGGAGAGAAGUGGAGAAAUGGAGCAUGAUGCAGUCUACACUUGAACUCAAACUUGAAUUUCCUGCAUGAGCACCACAGCUCAAUGUCUCUGGUGCUUGUGCACUAACUGUUAAGCUUUGUUUUUUGAAUCGGUGAUUAUUCUCAUCAGUAAUAAGUUCAA